AUUGAACGCUGGCGGCAUGCCUUACACAUGCAAGUCGAACGGUAACAGGUCUUCGGCUGCUGCCGAGUGGCGAACGGGGGAGUAAUACAUCGGAACGUGCCCGAUCGUGGGGGAUAACGAGGCGAAAGCUUUGCUAAUACCGCAUACGAUCUACGGAUGAAAGCGGGGGAACUUCGGACCUCGCGCGGCCGGAGCGGCCGAUGGCAGAUUAGGUAGUUGGUGGGAUAAAAGCUUACCAAGCCGACGAUCUGUAGCUGGUCUGAGAGGAUGAUCAGCCACACUGGGACUGAGACACGGCCCAGACUCCUACGGGAGGCAGCAGUGGGGAAUUUUGGACAAUGGGCGAAAGCCUGAUCCAGCCAUGCCGCGUGCAGGAAGAAGGCCUUUGGGUUGUAAACUGCUUUUGUACGGAACGAAAAGCCUCUUUCUAAUAAAGAGGGGUCAUGACGGUACCGUAAGAAUAAGCACCGGCUAACUACGUG
This 482-nucleotide ribosomal RNA is filed under the name uncultured bacterium. RNAcentral describes it as "partial 16S ribosomal RNA". It matches the Rfam family "Bacterial small subunit ribosomal RNA", at positions 30 to 507 of the family's 1533-position model. The record is from RNAcentral.